AGUGAACGCUGGCGGUAGGCCUAACACAUGCCAGUCGAACGGCAGCACAGUAAGAGCUUGCUCUUACGGGUGGCGAGUGGCGGACGGGUGAGGAAUACAUCGGAAUCUACUUUUUCGUGGGGGAUAACGUAGGGAAACUUACGCUAAUACCGCAUACGACCUACGGGUGAAAGCAGGGGAUCUUCGGACCUUGCGCGAUUGAAUGAGCCGAUGUCGGAUUAGCUAGUUGGCGGGGUAAAGGCCCACCAAGGCGACGAUCCGUAGCUGGUCUGAGAGGAUGAUCAGCCACACUGGAACUGAGACACGGUCCAGACUCCUACGGGAGGCAGCAGUGGGGAAUAUUGGACAAUGGGCGCAAGCCUGAUCCAGCCAUACCGCGUGAGUGAAGAAGGCCUUCGGGUUGUAAAGCCCUUUUGUUGGGAAAGAAAAGCAGCAGGUUAAUACCCGGCUGUUCUGACGGUACCAAAAGAAUAAGCACCGGCUAACUUCGUG
Molecule: ribosomal RNA, 492 nt
Filed under: uncultured bacterium
Lineage: Bacteria
Description: partial 16S ribosomal RNA
Rfam family: Bacterial small subunit ribosomal RNA
Source: RNAcentral